GGGGGUGUAGCUCAGGUGGGAGAGCGGUACGUUCGCAACGUAUAGGUCAGGGGUUCGAAUCCCCUCAUCUCCACCA
Molecule: transfer RNA, 76 nt
Filed under: Deltaproteobacteria bacterium
Lineage: Bacteria; Pseudomonadati; Myxococcota; Myxococcia
Also listed under: 2 other names
Description: tRNA-Ala
Rfam family: tRNA
About the family: Transfer RNA (tRNA) molecules are approximately 80 nucleotides in length.
Source: RNAcentral